Molecule: long non-coding RNA, 577 nt
Filed under: Phoenix dactylifera (date palm)
Lineage: Eukaryota; Viridiplantae; Streptophyta; Magnoliopsida; Arecales; Arecaceae
Description: long non-coding RNA (PDAC_LNC020443)
Source: RNAcentral
UUAGACUGAGUUCUAAGACCUUGGCCGGGGCAGUAAUAUAAAGUGGAAAAAGAGUUUUCCACUAUUGAACUCAAGUCGAAUAAAUCUUGACAUAUGACAGACGAUGGGGUUUGACGAGUUGUCCAUGACCUCCGUCCUGUAGGGAUCCACGAUAGUAGGAUUGUAUCACACGUUAACUGCACCUAGAGGUUCAUCAUUCCAUUCUGCUAGGUAGCCACUACAUGCUGCUAGGUGUCACUGGUGGAUGGUGGGACUCACAGGGAUUAUCUCGAUGAUUGAUAAACCCUAAUGAGUUGAGUUGGAAUCGUUCCAACCCAUUGAAAGGAGUUUUCAAUGAUAUAGUGAUAGAGAUCACAAUAUAUCUCACUACCAGUCAGAAUAAAACCUAUGGGGUCACACACACUAGAAGUAUUGACCGAUCCGAUGGUUGAAAAGUGAUUAUGAAUCACGAGUAAUCAAUUCGAUUGAUAAGAAGUUGAAGAAGGAAAGGGAAUUAAUUAAUUGGACUUGAAACAAGAAUCCUACUUCGGGUAGGAUACCUAGAGUCCUAAUUGGAUUAGGACUGGAAAUCCUAGUU